Molecule: long non-coding RNA, 1003 nt
Organism: Triticum aestivum (bread wheat)
Lineage: Eukaryota; Viridiplantae; Streptophyta; Magnoliopsida; Poales; Poaceae
Exons: 5
Source: RefSeq, a predicted model, not a curated record
GUACAGAAUAGGUGUGCUGCCCCAAGUUUGAGCGAACCGGAACAGAGAACAGGAACAGAUAGGGAUACAGGGCUCCGGCGGUUGACCUCGCCGUGUGCUGAGCUGCGACCUCACCGGCUGCUGCGCUGCGACCUCGCCGUGGUCCGGCGUACAACGGAGAGGCCGCCCCAUCCUCGCAACUCCAUUCUCCUCCUCCGUGCCACCCCGUCACCACACCCGGUACCUACCUCCGCCAUCCGACGGCGGCUAGAUCCGCCAUCCGCCGACGCCGGAGAAGAGAACUCCAACCUUCAGGUGCACUGCUGCGUCGAGCAGGGAAUGAUGGAGUCAAUGACUAGUAUUGCUCCAAGUGUCGGGUCAACUACAACGAUGGGACUAUAAGAUGAUGCUAACAAUUUUUCCAUGAGCAAGUAGCGUCCAAGAAGGUUCAACAUCAGCAUAUUGUUCUACUUAACGAGGCGAACAUGAUAGGGGUAUAUAUAUACUAGAACAUCACGUACUUCUGUUGUACGACCGCUCGUGAAGGCGGAGUGCGUGCGGCUGGAGGGGAUUGCUGUGGAGGUGACUUUUUUUACAUAGGGAGAGAGCACCCAGCUCAUCCUCCGGAGCAGUGGCCCGGGCACGUUGGGCCAACGACGAUGCGCGGGGAAACUGGUUAAAACGACCAUGGUGCGUGCGGCGGGACGAUCAAUUAAUCUGAUGCGUUCAUACGUGAGAUCCCAUGGUUGACAACGUCAAAUCGCUGUGGAUGGCUGUAGCUAGCUCCGUUUUACUGUAUUGUAAUUGCUCCUCAUAGAUUAAAACAUGUUGAGUAUGUUUGCAAACCUUUGACUUUUACUUGUUUAUUAUUUUCCAGCACAGCCCACCCAUGGGAGCGGACACUUUUACUUUGCGUUAAAUAAUGGAUGAAAGAUGUGUUCGUUAAUGUGAUAUAUGGACCUAGUUCAAGUACACCAUGCUGAAUUUGUUGGCGCAAUAUAUGUGUAUCUACUAAUCUUCUAUA